RNAcentral lists this long non-coding RNA (2264 nucleotides) under Mus musculus (house mouse). Its description in RNAcentral is "long non-coding RNA chr4:58960356-58962620". The record is from RNAcentral. Lineage: Eukaryota; Metazoa; Chordata; Mammalia; Rodentia; Muridae.
GGCAGCAGCAUGUGAAGGCUCCAUUUUCUUUACACCUGGGCCAAUCUUUAAAAAAAUGUUAGUCACUCUGAUGAGGGGCAUUUUUAUUUGCUUUUAAUUUGCAUCUCCCUGAUGACUGACGUCAUCAUCUGCCUUUCAUAUAUCUCCUUGGAGUUUUUUCAGAUUCCUUAUCCAAUUAAAAGUCAGGCUAGUUGAGUUAUAAUAAGUUCUUUAUGUCCAUACAACCCCUCAUCCAAUAUGAGCUUUCUAUCACUGUGUACUAGAGGGAAACUUUAACCCCUACUGCAAAAUAUUUAUCAAUAGCUAAUAAAUUGCACAAAAGCUAUUCAGUCUGUCCCAGCACCCAUGUACUUAAGUCAAUUUUGAGAUUGUCAGUGCAUCUAAGGAUUUUUAAUUUAUGGUUUGUGACUCCUCAUAGAAUUUCUUCUUAAAGCUUCAUUUAGCAUUUUUGUCUGUUUAUAAUGAUAAGGAUUUUAAUCAUCUAUAGUUUUAGACGAAGUCCUCACUCUUUAGAAUGUUUCACAGUGAGUUUCCAUAUAGAGAUUUCUUUCCCAUCAUGGAACAACCAAGCAUCUGCCAGUGAGUUAACUUUUAUUCUUUUUACUUUAGACAUAAAAUAUGUGUGCUAUAAAAUGAGCCAUCUCUGUUGCUUUUAGGUUGUUCCGUUCUGUGGUGUCCAUGUGUGAACUUAUCGCUCAUUUCCGUCCUCCCACACUCACCUCAUUGGAGAUUGGCUCUCCGUCCUCAUCUCUCCCAGCCAUCACAGUUCCAUUUCCUUCCCUCACCUGGCUCUUGUCCAUUCAUUCGUCACACAUAUAGAAGACAAUACUUGGCUUAUCUCACUUGGGUAGACCAUUGGAGGCGUUCAAGGACAUCUUCAGGUGGACUUCCUAGUGCAGAGUACAUGUCCCCUGUGUCACUGGUCCCACAAACUAAUCACCUGCCCAUUCACACUGAAGAACCUGAGACUAUGUACCUGCCUCCUCUUAGGAGUCUGCUUUAGCAAACUGAGUAAGAAUGCUUUCAGCAUGAAUCACACACUGUAACCAAGUAAUGAGAAAGAAAAAAAAAGCCCUAUUAUCUCUUACUUUAAAAGGACGACCCAUCUGGUCUUUAAACUCAGCUACAAUUCUAUCUUCUUGAAAGAAAUGAAUCUUUCUGCUUAGCUGGAAUUCCUUAACAGACGAAAAGCUUUUCUAAUAAUUCAGAUGUCUGAGACUUGAGGCAAUGAAUUGGCUUCUCUUUGUAAAUGUAGGCGUUCUUUGAGACAUCAUCAGAGUUUUCCCUGGGCAACGUCUUACACAGAUCAUCUAAAACUAAAAAUGUACUUGAAAUUUUUCAAAUUUUGAGUCAACUGAUUUUCGAUGAUAGAAAUAAGUGUAUAUAUUCUGUGAGAAAUAUGUAAUUUGCUCGUGUUGACCCUGAGCAGAAUUGCUCGGUGGUGUGGUGUUUCCUGUUUCCGUGGGUAUCUUUCCGACAAUCGUUUCUCCAGUGAUUUGAGUAGAGUGCAAUACUUGGCUUUACUUUCAUCUGAUCUGUGGUUCUCUUUGCGCGUGUGCGCAUGUGCAAGGGGCAAGCUGCCGUAUAACUGGCACACUUAGAAUCCGAAACCUGCUAAAAAAAAAGUCGCUUAAGGUAUUUUGGUUAGAAAUUUAGAUUUCAUUUUGCUGGUUUUUUGUGGAAUUUUCUUUUGACUAAGUUGCUGAAGAACGACGUAGAUCUGAAACACCGUCUUCAGUGUUGCCUACUGUGUUAUCUUCAAUACUUGAACUCUGUGUCUGCUGCUACUGCCGCCGCUGCUGCUGCUGCUGCUACUGUAAAUUGCAACUGGCAUUCAUCAGUGAAUGUGCAUUGGACCCUCUUCCAGUCCCUUCUUUCCCUACGGGGACACCUACAGUAUGAGCUUCUGUGUCUGCACUGAAUCCUGCCUUAGAGAUAUGCCUUUGACGAAACUUUAAAUAUUUUUCAUGUAUUUUUACCUAUAGAAUACUCAUGACUCCAGUAAGAAGCACUUUGAUUUAUGGUUAUGAACUGUACAGGUAACACCUCACUGUGCUAUUUGCCUAGCGUGUUGAUAUAAUCCUUUAUGAUAUCCCAUCUGUGCAGAGACAAAUGUCAUUUGUCGGUUUGUCAAUGCUGACUAGAUUGGUGACGUAUUUGUGUAUCACUGAAGAGCGCACCUCUUCUGCAGUGUUAAGAGCACCCUGUAUGGUGCGGUAGUUAAAGUGAAUCACAGCUAAACAAUAAAGUUGUAUUUAAUGAAG